This 484-nucleotide ribosomal RNA is filed under the name uncultured bacterium. RNAcentral's name for it is "partial 16S ribosomal RNA". It matches the Rfam family "Bacterial small subunit ribosomal RNA", at positions 28 to 507 of the family's 1533-position model. The record is from RNAcentral.
AUUGAACGCUGGCGGCAUGCUUUACACAUGCAAGUCGAACGGCAGCGCGGGCUUCGGCCUGGCGGCGAGUGGCGAACGGGGGAGUAAUGCAUCUGCACGUGCCCAGGAGUGGGGGAUAGCGCGGCGAAAGCCGGAUUAAUACUGCAUACGACCUGGAGGUGCAAGCGGGGGACCGAGAUGCCUCGCGCUAUUGCAACGGCCGAUGUCGGAUUAGCUAGUUGGUGGGGUAAAGGCUUACCAAGGCGACGAUCCGUAGCUGGUCUGAGAGGACGAGCAGCCACACUGGGACUGAGACACGGUCCAGACUCCUACGGGAGGCAGCAGUGGGGAAUUUUGGACAAUGGGGGCAACCCUGAUCCAGCCAUGCCGCGUGCGGGAAGAAGGCCUUCGGGUUGUAAACCGCUUUUGUUCGGGAAGAAAUCCUCUGGGCUAAUACCCCGGGGGGAUGACGGUACCGGAAGAAUAAGCACCGGCUAACUUCGUG